UAAGGUAGCAUAAUUAGUUGCCUCAUAAUUGGAGGAUUGUUUGAAAGGUUUGACUUGAGGAUUUGACUAGAUUAGGGCUUGGGCUGAAAUUGGAGUUGAGGUGCAGAUCCCUCGGAUUUUUAAUAAGACGGAAAGACCCCGAGAUCUUUAUAUUGUGUUAUUUGUUUGGGGUAAAAUGCUAUGUUUUAUGUUAUUUUUGAUCCUAAUGGAUAAAAGGUUUAAGUUACCUCGGGGAUAACUAGGUAAAAAAUAAGGAGAGGUCGGAUCGAUUUAUUUUAUUGCUAUCUCGAUGUUGACUUGGGGAAAAGUAGAGGGGUGUAGGAGUUUCUUUACUGGGUCUGUUCGACCGUAGUUUCUCUCAUGAGUUGAGUUAAGACCGGCGUGAGC
RNAcentral lists this ribosomal RNA (387 nucleotides) under Fasciola sp. (Japanese isolate). RNAcentral describes it as "large subunit ribosomal RNA". It matches the Rfam family "Bacterial large subunit ribosomal RNA", at positions 1952 to 2626 of the family's 2925-position model. The record is from RNAcentral. Lineage: Eukaryota; Metazoa; Platyhelminthes; Trematoda; Plagiorchiida; Fasciolidae.